GGAGGCAGCAGUGGGGAAUAUUGCACAAUGGGCGAAAGCCUGAUGCAGCAACGCCGCGUGAGGGACGACGGCCUUCGGGUUGUAAACCUCUUUUAGCAGGGAAGAAGCGAAAGUGACGGUACCUGCAGAAAAAGCGCCGGCUAACUACGUGCCAGCAGCCGCGGUAAUACGUAGGGCGCAAGCGUUAUCCGGAAUUAUUGGGCGUAAAGAGCUCGUAGGCGGUUUGUCGCGUCUGCUGUGAAACCCCGAGGCUCAACCUCGGGCCUGCAGUGGGUACGGGCAGACUAGAGUGCGGUAGAGGAGAUUGGAAUUCCUGGUGUAGCGGUGGAAUGCGCAGAUAUCAGGAGGAACACCGAUGGCGAAGGCAGAUCUCUGGGCCGUAACUGACGCUGAGGAGCGAAAGGGUGGGGAGCAAACAGGCUUAGAUACCCUGGUAGUCCACCCCGUAAACGUUGGGAACUAGUUGUGGGGUCCAUUCCACGGAUUCCGUGACGCAGCUAACGCAUUAAGUUCCCCGCCUGGGGAGUACGGCCGCAAGGCUAAAACUCAAAGGAAUUGACGGGGACCCGCACAAGCGGCGGAGCAUGCGGAUUAAUUCGAUGCAACGCGAAGAACCUUACCAAGGCUUGACAUAUACGAGAACGGGCCAGAAAUGGUCAACUCUUUGGACACUCGUAAACAGGUGGUGCAUGGUUGUCGUCAGCUCGUGUCGUGAGAUGUUGGGUUAAGUCCCGCAACGAGCGCAACCCUCGUUCUAUGUUGCCAGCACGUAAUGGUGGGAACUCAUGGAAUACUGCCGGGGUCAACUCGGAGGAAGGUGAGGAUGACGUCAAAUCAUCAUGCCCCUUAUGUCUUGGGCUUCACGCAUGCUACAAUGGCCGGUACAAUGGGCUGCAAUACCGCAAGGUGGAGCGAAUCCCAAAAAGCCGGUCCCAGUUCGGAUUGAGGUCUGCAACUCGACCUCAUGAAGUCGGAGUCGCUAGUAAUCGCAGAUCAGCAACGCUGCGGUGAAUACGUUCCCGGGUCUUGUACACACCGCCCGUCAAGUCAUGAAAGUCGGUAACACCUGAAGCCGGUGGCCCAA
RNAcentral lists this ribosomal RNA (1084 nucleotides) under Microbacterium lacticum. RNAcentral's name for it is "bacterial SSU rRNA". It matches the Rfam family "Bacterial small subunit ribosomal RNA", at positions 344 to 1438 of the family's 1533-position model. The record is from RNAcentral. Lineage: Bacteria; Bacillati; Actinomycetota; Actinomycetes; Micrococcales; Microbacteriaceae.